RNAcentral lists this ribosomal RNA (495 nucleotides) under uncultured bacterium. RNAcentral describes it as "bacterial SSU rRNA". It matches the Rfam family "Bacterial small subunit ribosomal RNA", at positions 895 to 1390 of the family's 1533-position model. The record is from RNAcentral.
UAAAACUCAAAUGAAUUGACGGGGGCCCGCACAAGCGGUGGAGCAUGUGGUUUAAUUCGAUGCAACGCGAAGAACCUUACCUACUCUUGACAUCCAGAGAACUUAGCAGAGAUGCUUUGGUGCCUUCGGGAACUCUGAGACAGGUGCUGCAUGGCUGUCGUCAGCUCGUGUUGUGAAAUGUUGGGUUAAGUCCCGCAACGAGCGCAACCCUUAUCCUUUGUUGCCAGCGGUCCGGCCGGGAACUCAAAGGAGACUGCCAGUGAUAAACUGGAGGAAGGUGGGGAUGACGUCAAGUCAUCAUGGCCCUUACGAGUAGGGCUACACACGUGCUACAAUGGCGCAUACAAAGAGAAGCGACCUCGCGAGAGCAAGCGGACCUCAUAAAGUGCGUCGUAGUCCGGAUUGGAGUCUGCAACUCGACUCCAUGAAGUCGGAAUCGCUAGUAAUCGUAGAUCAGAAUGCUACGGUGAAUACGUUCCCGGGCCUUGUACACAC